This 119-nucleotide ribosomal RNA is filed under the name Takifugu rubripes (torafugu). Lineage: Eukaryota; Metazoa; Chordata; Actinopteri; Tetraodontiformes; Tetraodontidae. The record is from RNAcentral.
GCUUACGGCCAUACCACCCUGAGAACGCCCGAUCUCGUCCGAUCUCGGAAGCUAAGCAGGGUCGGGCCUGGUUAGUACUUGGAUGGGAGACCGCCUGGGAACACCAGGUGCUGUAAGCA